AGAGUUUGAUCAUGGCUCAGAUUGAACGCUGGCGGCAGGCCUAACACAUGCAAGUCGAACGGUAACAAGAAGAAGCUUGCUUCUUUGCUGACGAGUGGCGGACGGGUGAGUAAUGUCUGGGAAACUGCCUGAUGAGGGGGAUAACUACUGGAAACGGUAGCUAAUACCGCAUAAC
This 175-nucleotide ribosomal RNA is filed under the name Escherichia coli P0298942.1. RNAcentral's name for it is "partial 16S ribosomal RNA". It matches the Rfam family "Bacterial small subunit ribosomal RNA", at positions 8 to 177 of the family's 1533-position model. The record is from RNAcentral. Lineage: Bacteria; Pseudomonadati; Pseudomonadota; Gammaproteobacteria; Enterobacterales; Enterobacteriaceae.